Molecule: ribosomal RNA, 403 nt
Filed under: Althepus tibiatus
Lineage: Eukaryota; Metazoa; Arthropoda; Arachnida; Araneae; Ochyroceratidae
Description: partial 16S ribosomal RNA
Rfam family: Bacterial large subunit ribosomal RNA
Source: RNAcentral
CCUGCUCAAUGAAUUUUAAAUAGCCGCUUUAAAUAGUGCUAAGGUAGCAUAAUCAUUAGUCUCCUCAUUAGAGAAUAGAAUGAAAGGGAUUACGAGUAAGAAACUUUAUUUAAAUUAAUAAUUUAAAUUUAUAUAAAAGUAAAAAAGCUUUUAUAUUAAGAACAGACGACAAGACCCUUUAGAACUUAACUAAAAGUUAAACUGGGGUGGUUAUCUAUAAAAACUAAAAUAAAAUAUUUAUUGAUCUUUAAACAUAACAUUAAAAGUUACCUAAGGGAUAACAGCAUAAUAUAAUUUAUAAGAACAUAUUAAUAAUUAUGAUUAUGACCUCGAUGUUGAAUUACCAAACUUAAAAUAGAAAAUUAUUUUAAAGUAAGUCUGUUCGACUUUUAAUAAAGUACAU